Molecule: ribosomal RNA, 515 nt
Filed under: unidentified nematode Sourhope farm
Lineage: Eukaryota; Metazoa; Nematoda
Description: SSU rRNA
Rfam family: Eukaryotic small subunit ribosomal RNA
Source: RNAcentral
GGGAAACUGCGUACGGCUCAUUACACCAGCCUUAAUUUACUUGACCUUGACAACCUACUUGGAUAACUGUGGUAAUUCUAGAGCUAAUACAUGCACCAAAGCUCCGAUCCUCGCGGAGAGGAGCGCAUUUGUUCGCCACAAAACCAAGCGCCCAUCUGGGCGUCCAGUGCUGAACCAGAACAACUCAGCUGAUCGCACGGUCUUGUACCGGCGACGUGUCUUUCAAGUGUCUGCCUUAUCAACUUUCGAUGGUAGUGUACCUGACUACCAUGGUUGUGACGGGUAACGGAGGAUAAGGGUUCGACUCCGGAGAAGGGGCCUGAGAAAUGGCCACUACGUCUAAGGAUGGCAGCAGGCGCGCAAAUUACCCACUCUCAACGCGAGGAGGUAGUGACGAGAAAUAACGAGACCGUUCUCAUACGAGGCCGGUUAUUGGAAUGGGUACAAUUUAAACCCUUUAACGAGUAUCUAUGAGAGGGCAAGUCUGGUGCCAGCAGCCGCGGUAAUUCCAGCUC